This is a long non-coding RNA of Stylophora pistillata, 1129 nucleotides long. Lineage: Eukaryota; Metazoa; Cnidaria; Anthozoa; Scleractinia; Pocilloporidae. The record is from RefSeq and is a predicted model, not a curated record.
AUACCAAACCUCGCGUUCAAAUCUGCUCGGUUGCACCCUUUGUUAACAUUAGAUUAAAUGUACUUUUUUUCUUUUGCUGCGCUAUUCGAUCUUACCAGCCACCGUGUCAUUCCUAGAUUGUUUUACUUAUUUCUUCCAUUUCAGAUCCUAUUGUCAGCGCUCCAUAUUUAUACGUGACGUACACAGUUUCCGAGGGGACACUUAAAGCAACAGUGGACUCUCAGAGUUCGUACCAUCCCGAGCCAUCGCUGAUGCUUUUGGAAGUGUUAGGUGUCCCAUCUGCUCCCAAUUCUGUUACCGUGAAUGGUAUUCCGAUUAAGAGUUUCUCUUACAGCGCCUCAACUAAGGUGGUCAAAGUAACCGGUCUCGACCUUCCCAUGGACAAAGGCUUCACUAUCCAGUGGUCAUGAACAAAUGACGCGAUCCGGAUAGGCAGUUACGAGAAGUGCGAAGAGUUAGAAUUAAUUUGCGAAACUGUGACGAAUUAAUUUUUUCCACAGUUUUAAAAAAAUUAUCCUGUUUUCAUGUCAUUGCAAUUUUCUCAAGUUGUCCUUACAUUGGGACAGAUUUUAAUCAAGCGGUCGUUCAGCAAAGACGGAUUUUCAAGUUGAAGCUCUGAUCCAUUUUCUAAUAUGUAGCGGCAGUUGAUCCGAAGUUAUCCGCCUGUUUAAAAUGGAAUUAAAAGUUUAUUAAUUGAAUUUACAAUUUUGGAAUUCCUACAGUAACGCAUCAGAUGCCGUGCUUAGGGAUGAGAUCUUGGCUCAUUUUCAUUGAUAUCAAAAGCCCCUUUCAGAAUUACCCUUGGCCUCUUUUUCAAAACGAGGCCUGGUGCUCAACCAUUCUUGUGAGUGAAAGUGAGUUUAAUUUGCUUGUGAAUGAAAACGUAAUAUCAAAUCAAAGGAUGAGCACCAGGACUCGUUUUGAAAAUGAGGCCAAGGGUAAUUCGGAAAUGGGCUAUUAAUAUUAUAAGCAUUUUUAUAACAAGAAAAAAUUUUUUUAAGAAAUGCGACAAUAUUGUGACUUAAAGUUAAUUGUCUAUUAGGUAGUGUUUUGACGUAGAGUUUUAAGGUUCGUUUAAAAAUGAAUGUUCAUUCACAAUUAUCAAAUAAAAAAAGUUGUUUGAGUGCAA